This 259-nucleotide ribosomal RNA is filed under the name uncultured bacterium. RNAcentral's name for it is "partial 16S ribosomal RNA". It matches the Rfam family "Bacterial small subunit ribosomal RNA", at positions 95 to 354 of the family's 1533-position model. The record is from RNAcentral.
UUGGCGGACGGGUGAGUAACGCGUGGGUAACCUGCCUUGCACUGGGGGAUAACACUUAGAAAUAGGUGCUAAUACCGCAUAAGCGCACGGUCCUGCAUGGGACAGUGUGAAAAACUCCGGUGGUGCAAGAUGGACCCGCGUCUGAUUAGCUGGUUGGCGGGGUAAAGGCCCACCAAGGCGACGAUCAGUAGCCGGCCUGAGAGGGUGGACGGCCACAUUGGGACUGAGACACGGCCCAAACUCCUACGGGAGGCAGCAG